GCGUUUUCGCGAUCAUGAGAAAAUCUUUUGGUUGAAUAAUUUAAUAAAAAGCGUGUUUUGGUUAUCUAAAUUUAUCUUUUUCUUUUCUCUCGCCCUUCAGAAGAUUAUCGAUUUAUUAAUUAUGUGUAAAUUUAACUAAACAAUAAUUGCGAUUAAUUUAACUCUCGCUCGGGCGAGGACGUAAAAUGCGCGCGGUUCACUCAAAACUAGUCGAUCUUCCCGCAAGAGAGGUCGUCGAGAUUGAAGGCACCGGAAACGCUUUUAGGAUAAAAAUCGCGUAUUCGGGAUGACGGAACGGAAAGAGGCGAUCCGUGAAACGACCGGAGGACCCUCACCUGCGCCGGAACUCGUUUCGUCCGUAGUACACGCUAAGGGCGUACUCGAGAGUUUUGCUUGCGAUCCCCACUGCUGCAAUUCCGACUUGACUGAAGAUCCGACAUUAAUCACAAUCAAAAAGCUCCCGAAAGGAUGCACUCGUCGUAAGAACUGCAGAAGCGUCAACGAAUCGGCAAGGACUACAAGAGAAACGUGUUGCGGACGUAGACAGAAAUCGCCACCUCAAGAGGAUAAUUGCCGCGAGUAAACGAUGUCUAUUAUCGGUUGCACGAAAACUUGCAACUGCCGAAAAGAUGCGUUUCUGAAACGGCUUGCCGCUCAACAUAUCGCAGAAAAUCCGCAAAAGCAAGACGAGGGAACCGACACCACGAGUGGAGAAGCGACAAUUUUAUCAGACGUCGUCGUGACCCCGGAUUUGUCCGGAAAUCCCGACGACGUAGCGCGUCACGCAUCCGGAAAUAAACAUCCGGGCGAGCGAGCUGCGACGGCCGUCGACGGUCUCGAGGAAACGGUCGCGGCUGCGCAGAAGGAGAACGCUGAAAUCCCGCAAGUAGCAACGACGGUUCCCGAGACACUUGUUCGAGCUCAACGAGCUGAUGUUUCAGAAUUGUCGGUUGACAGUCAAGGAAACGAGGACUGAGAAUCAGCGCGCGCUCUGUGAAAUCUCGGAAUCGCGCGGGAGAGCCAAGACAAGUCCGAAUCUCUUUCUUGAACGAAGAGCAUAAGCGAGAAUUUAAUGUUUAACGUUAAUUUAAUAUUCUCCGCUUUGGUAACUCCGGGCGACCAAUGGGUCACGAAUUGCGUUGGAAAGAAAAGACAAUAACAAUUCAGGUCUCACAUUGUAAUUUCCCCUCUUCGGGGCUCAGUGUCGGGUUUACUUCCCUCGGUAGUCCUAAUUACGUUGUCGACCGAAGUCGAUUCAAUGCACGCCAAGCCGAUUCCAGAGCCUUCGCAAAAACAAGCAGAUACGAAAGAAAUACCCACUCCUCGCGCUUAACGACGAAUUAAGGGGGAUAGAGGCAAGUCGCGAGGGUAAAUUUGCCAACUACUCGAGUAAUUAAGGGCGUUCCAAUUGGGGAUUCUGGGUCGUUCCCCCGCCUCCGGGAAAAGAACAGAGUGAGAAGAAAGAAACGGAAAAGUGAGAGACGCACGGUGAAGUUGUUCCGAACAAACUUUGCGCGCUGUCCUUCGCGCUGUUAUAUCUCAAUGAGAUAUCAGGAAUUUCGAAACUAAGUCGACGACGUGGCUGUUUCGACCGACCGUCGCGGCAUCUAGUCUAUCAAGCAGCUGGCUUCGUCUAUACGGAAAAACUGCCUAAUGGUCCCCCUGGCCUAAUUGAUCGCCGGCAUGACGGACCAUCAAGAGCCGGUCGAGUAUCAGAAUGUCGAUUCCGAGACGAUAAAAUCAGAAAUGCCAGAUGGUGCGGAAAACUCCUCGUUACAUACAGCGACGACUGAAGAAGCGCGAGUGAACGGCUCAGCGGAGCCAGACAUCGAUGAGGGAUCCGAGUUUGACGAUGAGAAAAACGAAAGAUAUCAAACAGCCGUAUUUACACUGACUACGUUUGUUGCGGUUUUUGCGCUCUAUGUUUACAUAGUGUACAGCCUCAGCAGUCCCUCGCCGCGUCUGUCCCGAUGUUAACGCGCGCCUGAUCAAUUAAUCUGGAAGCGAUGGAUCGAGCGUAGUUGUGCGAGUGUCGAAUUGUUCGCGUUGAAGACGGGAGAAACUUGUUCUGUGGCACACUUAAACAACAAGACAAUAUAACUGUAACUUAAAU
Long non-coding RNA from Pseudomyrmex gracilis, 2113 nucleotides. RefSeq lists it as uncharacterized. The record is from RefSeq and is a predicted model, not a curated record. The transcript has 9 exons. NCBI's taxonomy places the organism in Eukaryota, Metazoa, Arthropoda, Insecta, Hymenoptera, Formicidae.